RNAcentral lists this long non-coding RNA (1054 nucleotides) under Carassius auratus (goldfish). RNAcentral's name for it is "lncRNA (ENSCARG00000012429.1)". The record is from RNAcentral. Lineage: Eukaryota; Metazoa; Chordata; Actinopteri; Cypriniformes; Cyprinidae.
AUGCAAAAACAAAGUCCUGGAAACGUUGAACCAGAUGAGCUCUGCUUUUUGCUCCACGACUGUUUAUUUACAGCACAGCAGACAAAUGUGAACCACACACUAAACACAUCAUUGGUUAAUUCAUCUUCCUGCAGUCUCAAAGCAGCUGGCACAUCCACAUUUAAACAACACAUUCCCGUUCACCCUCAGAAUAACUCACUCUCACCCAUUUCUGUGCUUCACGAGAGCGGAUCACCCAUUUUCACUCUGUGAGAAGAAACCUGUGUGUUACAGGUAAGGCAGCAAAAUCCCAGAGCCUUUAUCAAGAGGUACUGCAGGAGUUUUAACGACAUCUCAGUCCGAACAGCAGGACAGUAUGUUGGUAAAAAGCUACAACAAUUGUUUUUUAGGUCAGCUCUCCAUCUGUUUGACACUGACCACAAUCCUAACGUUGAAUUGUAAGAUCACCUAGAUACUUGUAGUGUCUCCAGACAUGAACAUUUGCUUUUAUAUAACACAAGGUACAAGAGAAACGACGACAUCACUGUGCUAGAAGCAUGUCGGCUCGAACACACAAUAACAGCACAGAUGACGUGCAAUUAAAACUUUUUUUUUUCAUUCGAAUCGAUGAGACGCUGCAUGAGUGGCACUUUAAUGUGAACUAGUCCUAGUAGUAUUUAAAGUAGGCACUUCUCCGCUCAGUGCCCUAGAGUUCAGAUCCUCAUUUGGAUGCACAUCUAGAUGGAUUACCACAACUUAGAUGGCAAACCACAAGAAGAGGCCACGAAACCAAAACUUGCAUGGUACCCAUUCAAGAAAACGUGAAAAUAGACCUAGUUUGACGCCAUUUUUAAUCAUCAAAAUUUCCAUUCGAGUGACAAAAACGCUGAUAGAUUAUUUAUUCUAUAAUAUGCAUUACAACUUUAUUCCCUCUUUCUUUUUAUACUAUAUACAUUUGCAUUUUACACAGACAUCGGGGGUUGUGUUGUCAAAGUGAGAGGUAUUAGGUUCAGGUUUAGACCGAACGUUGGGAUUGGACAGAGGGCCGUGCUGGGGACAGGAAGUGGUUGAGACG